Molecule: ribosomal RNA, 90 nt
Filed under: Comamonas sp. CAH-2
Lineage: Bacteria; Pseudomonadati; Pseudomonadota; Betaproteobacteria; Burkholderiales; Comamonadaceae
Source: RNAcentral
CCCACUCCUUCCCAUCCCGAACAGGACAGUGAAACGACUUUGCGCCGAUGAUAGUGCGGAUUCCCGUGUGAAAGUAGGUCAUCGCCAGGC